UACGUAGGGUGCGAGCGUUAAUCGGAAUUACUGGGCGUAAAGCGCGCGCAGGCGGUUGUGCAAGACAGGUGUGAAAUCCCCGGGCUUAACCUGGGAACUGCACUUGUGACUGCACGGCUAGAGUACGGUAGAGGGGGAUGGAAUUCCGCGUGUAGCAGUGAAAUGCGUAGAUAUGCGGAGGAACACCAAUGGCGAAGGCAAUCCCCUGGACCUGUACUGACGCUCAUGCACGAAAGCGUGGGGAGCAAACAG
RNAcentral lists this ribosomal RNA (252 nucleotides) under uncultured bacterium. Its description in RNAcentral is "partial 16S ribosomal RNA". It matches the Rfam family "Bacterial small subunit ribosomal RNA", at positions 524 to 775 of the family's 1533-position model. The record is from RNAcentral.